Molecule: ribosomal RNA, 253 nt
Filed under: uncultured bacterium
Lineage: Bacteria
Description: partial 16S ribosomal RNA
Rfam family: Bacterial small subunit ribosomal RNA
Source: RNAcentral
UACAGAGGUCCCGAGCGUUGUUCGGAUUCACUGGGCGUAAAGGGUGCGUAGGUGGUGAGGUAAGUCGGAUGUGAAAUCUCCAAGCUCAACUUGGAAAUGGCAUUGGAAACUACCUUGCUGGAGGUUUGGAGGGGGGACUGGAAUUCUCGGUGUAGCAGUGAAAUGCGUAGAUAUCGAGAGGAACACCAGUGGCGAAGGCGAGUCCCUAGACAAAACCUGACACUGAGGCACGAAAGCUAGGGGAGCAAACAGG